UUCCUUUGUUUCUGCACCCAUAGCUGCUGCAUUUAGGUUUGUUCUCCUUUGCUGUAGGGUUGUGUCACUCUAUUGCUAUUCUUUCAAUCAUGUUAUAGCAUUACAAAGAGAAAAAAGCAAAGCAUAGGACAGGCAACAUUUUCUUCCAGGUCUAGCUGCUCAGCAUGUGCCUUAUCUAGUGCUCUUUUAAUGCUUUCAGGAUUAAUUGAACUGAGCCAGUCCUACUUAUCAAGGUAAAAGCAUUUAACCCCAGAAUAUUGUGCACUCCUGCUUCAGUGUCUUGCAACCAUAUGAACUAUUUUCCAUGCUUUGGUUUUGUUCUCAUGUGCCAUUUUCAUGCUCCUCACUUACAGCCACUCUUUGGCUGCUAAUGCUCCAAGAAUUUCUGUUAGCAGAGGCAUUGGGCCAGGAGGUUGUAUGAUUCAGACAGUUUUUGGCAGUGAAAAGCAGAGGAGGAAACUGUGGAAACGCUGUGAAAUUCAUGAAUCAAAUCCUGGGCAUCUAUGGCUUGGUGCCAUUAAGAGUGGAAAAGAUCUCUAAGGUCAUCAAGUCCAAUCAUCCAACCACCAAUCCAUGCCCGCUAAUCCAUGUCCCUCCAUGCUGCAUCUCUGUGGUUCCUGAAUGCCUCCAGGGACAGUGACACCAACGCCUCACUUCAGAGCGCUGUGCCAGAAUCUUUCCAACUGCAGCCUUCAGGAUAGGCUCCUGCGCCGAUACUGAGCGGAAAGAACGUUGAGUAUUUUUACCAUGAGACCACAGGAACGGUCCAAGAGAGGAUAAACUACAGGACAUGAUCAUGGGGAGCAGCAGCAGUAGGAUGGUGAUGGCUCUGUCAUGCAUCAACUUGAUAAGGUCAGCCACAUCGUCCUCAUGGAGAGCAGCCAAGGUGUUCAAGGUGCAGCUGAGGUCUGUGCCAGCACUGGGGUAUGCCCCCUGCCCUUGAUGUCCCCAACCCUAACCCAGCCACUGCUACCAGCUUCACGCCUGUGACGCCAAUGGUUGUGACAGUAGGA
This is a long non-coding RNA of Lagopus muta (rock ptarmigan), 1013 nucleotides long. RefSeq lists it as uncharacterized. Lineage: Eukaryota; Metazoa; Chordata; Aves; Galliformes; Phasianidae. The record is from RefSeq and is a predicted model, not a curated record. The transcript has 4 exons.